UACGAAGGGGGCUAGCGUUGUUCGGAAUCACUGGGCGUAAAGCGUAUGUAGGCGGGCUUUUAAGUCAGGUGUGAAAUCCCAUGGCUCAACCAUGGAAUUGCAUUUGAAACUGGAAGUCUUGAGUGUGGGAGAGAUUGGUAGAAUACCUGGUGUAGUGGUGAAAUACGUAGAUAUCAGGUGGAAUACCGGUGGCGAAGGCGGCCAAUUGGCCCAACACUGACGCUGAGAUACGAGAGCGUGGGGAUCAAACAGG
RNAcentral lists this ribosomal RNA (253 nucleotides) under uncultured bacterium. RNAcentral's name for it is "partial 16S ribosomal RNA". It matches the Rfam family "Bacterial small subunit ribosomal RNA", at positions 524 to 776 of the family's 1533-position model. The record is from RNAcentral.